This is a long non-coding RNA of Pan troglodytes (chimpanzee), 672 nucleotides long. RefSeq lists it as uncharacterized. The record is from RefSeq and is a predicted model, not a curated record. Lineage: Eukaryota; Metazoa; Chordata; Mammalia; Primates; Hominidae. The transcript has 3 exons.
GUUCCCUCCCUGGGCUGGAUGCCGAUGCUGGGAGACUCGGAAGCCGCAUGUGGAAGAUGGCAGUGCGGGUGAGCAAGGAGAGAAGACACCCAUUGCUCCUGUCUACACCACAUCUAGAAGGCAGAGAAAGGAAAAAGUGUCUUAAAAAAGUAAUAAUAAGGACCCAGCAAGAGAGCACCCUAGCAAUCAAUCGUGGAAGAAAAGGGUGUCGUUAAUUAAAGAAACUGCCCUUCACUCUAGCAACAGAAGAGGGAGCAGUUGAUCUGCACAACCAAUAGGCCGCUCGGGCCUCUAGGCCUCCACUGCAUUGUCUGCUAUUGCCAGUCCGGGGAAACGCAACAGAAAUAAACACCAAUCACAAAGCAGAAAAGGAGAACUAUACUUUCCAGCAGAUGGCGCCACUUCAGAAAACAGUUUGAGUGGAACUGGUGGCUUUAUAAGAAGAGGAAGAGACAUGGGCCAGCAUGUUCAGCCCCCUCGCCAUGUGAUGCCCGGCACCACCUUGGGACUCUGCAGAGAGUCCCCACCAGCAAGAAGCCCUCACCAGAUGCAGCCAUUCAACCUCGGACUUCCCAGCCUCCAGAAGUGUAAGAAAUAAAUUUCACUUCUUAGCAAUUACUCAGUUUCAAAUAUUCUAUUAUAUGCAACAGAAAAUGGACAGAGGGAGUUCUU